UGGGGAAUAUUGCACAAUGGAGGGAACUCUGAUGCAGCGACGCCGCGUGAGUGAUGAAGAUCUUCGGAUUGUAAAACUCUGUCCUUAGUGAAGAUAAUGACAGUAACUAAGAAGCAAGCCCUGGCUAAAUACGUGCCAGCAGCCGCGGUAAUACGUAUGGGGCAAGCGUUGUCCGGAAUUAUUGGGCGUAAAGGGUACGUAGGCGGUUUAAUAAGUCCUAAUUAAAAGGCUAUGGCUCAACCAUAGUAUGGUUAGGAAACUGUUGAACUUGAGUAGAUGAGGGGAAAGUGGAAUUCCAUGUGUAGCGGUGAAAUGCGUAGAUAUAUGGAGGAACACCAAUGGCGAAGGCAACUUUCUGGAAUCAAACUGACGCUGAGGUACGAAGGCGUGGGGAGCAAACAGG
This 403-nucleotide ribosomal RNA is filed under the name Fusobacteriota bacterium. Its description in RNAcentral is "Fusobacteria bacterium partial 16S ribosomal RNA". It matches the Rfam family "Bacterial small subunit ribosomal RNA", at positions 355 to 776 of the family's 1533-position model. The record is from RNAcentral. Lineage: Bacteria; Fusobacteriati; Fusobacteriota.